RNAcentral lists this long non-coding RNA (1203 nucleotides) under Gallus gallus (chicken). RNAcentral describes it as "long non-coding RNA NONGGAT007144". The record is from RNAcentral. Lineage: Eukaryota; Metazoa; Chordata; Aves; Galliformes; Phasianidae.
CCCCACAGAGUUCUACAGUAUAGUUCAUUGAGACUGUUUUACAGAAUACUAUUCAGAAUGUAUUUGACGUGUCAAGAUAUUUUGGUUUCUGUAAGGAAGCAUUAUACAGUUCUAUUUUAGUUCCUGUGUUUUUAUUAUGCAACAUAAAAAAGAAAAUACCUUUAAAGGAAAACUGUGAGCCUGUAUUGUAUGGAGUAUGUGUAUUAUGUCUCUGUAUACGCAUAAUAAUGAGUAUGCGUGCCUUUUCAUAUGACUAGUUCUAGCCAGAAAGCAAAGUUCUUAAAAAUAUUUAAGGUUUGUGGCCUGCAGUUCCAGCAUAGAGAUAAACACCAGGAAAUCCUUGGGUAAGUGUUCCCCUAGCAGCUGUGAAGUACAAUUACUAUUUCAUUUUCUCCAGACUUCCUUACCAUAUAUGCUGCUGUUCUCUCCACUUUUAGGGAACGUACAAUCUUCAGCCAGUGCUUGUUCUCUGUCAAGAGAAGAAGGUGCUCUCAAACUGUACAGACUGAUGAACAGUUCCCGUGCUGCACAAGAUGGUUACUGUGUCAACCACUGACUUCUGUGCCUGUCCUGCCUACUGUGCAUGGCUCAUUGAGCCAAAUUGACCAUUCUACAGAAUUUAGAUGAUGCCUAGAAUUAAUUGUGACACACUCAGGCUGUAGUAUGGCCACAAAAUGGUUCAUUUGUAGUUCAUUAUAAUGAUUGUUCAGAUUCAUAGUGGAAAGAGAGGUCAUUACUAUUGUUCUAGUAGAGUAAGGCGCUGUGGUACGACAUAACACGUCAUGCUUUCCCUGACUUUGCAUCAAGACAGAAGAUCUGCUCUGGUCUACUGCCUGCGUCCUGGUAUUUAUCCCUGCUAUUAUCCCCUUGCAUGGAGCUUUCAACUAAGGGUAGAAAAGUCACCCAGUGCCAAGAUGUUACCCAGCACACGUUAGUAGGACAUCAUGUUAAGUGAAGAGUGAAACAGGAGGUACAGCAGGUACAGACACCUAACUUCCAAGGACUCUUGAAAUCAGAGAGGAUGAUAAAGGCUCCAGUAUCCUCCUUCAUCUUGGGAUGCAUUUUGCUGCCCUUCUCAGACUAAUGUGAUGUGAAUCCAUUACACAGCUACUUUUACCUGGCAGGAACGGACGAACAGCAAGGUACCCAAGCAAAGCCAGCACACCCAGGAAAGGCAAUAACCGCAGCCAUUCUGAAACUGAA